AGGGGCGUAGCGUAAUGGUACUCCAAACCCCGUUAGGGGUGCGAUAGGAUUCCGAAGGAAUCCCGACGGCGCAUCGGGUUUUGAUCCCGUAAGUAUGAGUUCGAUCCUCAUCGCCCUUA
This 119-nucleotide transfer RNA is filed under the name Lachnospiraceae bacterium. RNAcentral describes it as "tRNA-Gln". Lineage: Bacteria; Bacillati; Bacillota; Clostridia; Lachnospirales; Lachnospiraceae. The record is from RNAcentral.